UACGUAGGGGGCAAGCGUUGUCCGGAAUCAUUGGGCGUAAAGAGCGUGUAGGCGGCUUGGCAAGUCUGACGUGAAGGCCCGCGGCUCAACCGCGGAUUGUCGUUGGAAACUGCCUCGCUAGAGUCCGGAAGAGGAGAGCGGAAUUCCUGGUGUAGCGGUGGAAUGCGCAGAUAUCAGGAAGAACACCCGUGGCGAAGGCGGCUCUCUGGGACGGUACUGACGCUGAGACGCGAAAGCGUGGGGAGCGAACAGG
This 253-nucleotide ribosomal RNA is filed under the name uncultured bacterium. RNAcentral's name for it is "partial 16S ribosomal RNA". It matches the Rfam family "Bacterial small subunit ribosomal RNA", at positions 524 to 776 of the family's 1533-position model. The record is from RNAcentral.